CAAUUGGGCAGAGGAUCCUCCUCCCAACAUCACUGUUCCUCCUGAUCACCCAAUGUAGCUGGGCCAAGAAGAAACAAGAGAAAAGAACUAUGAUGCCCACAACAAUGGAGUGUUGCUAGAAAUCUGAUGUCUUGAGUUGUCAUGAAAUAUAAUAAAUGAAUUGAAGCGAGGAAACCCAAUUUUGAAGUGUUGAAUUUGAGACUCAGCAUGUGAGAAAAACAGGUUGGAGAGAAGGCUCAUUUAGGAUAAGAUACCCAGAAGCUCUUGUUUUAAUGUGCAAACAUUUUGUUAUAAGUCCCUGCCCUUCAGUGCCGCAUCUGGUGUGCAAACUGAUCCUGCUCCAUCACAGAUCCAAAUGAGCUGGAAGUGGUCUAAUCAUUUCAUCAUCACCCAUACUUCUUUUAAGUACUGAAAGGCUACAGUAAGAUCUCCCAGAAGCCUUCUCUUCUCCAGGAUGAAAAACCUCUACAGUAAAUGAAUAAACAAAGUUAA
Pogoniulus pusillus (Red-fronted tinkerbird) is the source of this 492-nucleotide long non-coding RNA. RefSeq lists it as uncharacterized. The transcript has 5 exons. NCBI's taxonomy places the organism in Eukaryota, Metazoa, Chordata, Aves, Piciformes, Lybiidae. The record is from RefSeq and is a predicted model, not a curated record.